RNAcentral lists this ribosomal RNA (497 nucleotides) under uncultured bacterium. RNAcentral's name for it is "partial 16S ribosomal RNA". It matches the Rfam family "Bacterial small subunit ribosomal RNA", at positions 28 to 507 of the family's 1533-position model. The record is from RNAcentral.
GAUGAACGCUGGCGGCGUGCCUAAUACAUGCAAGUCGAGCGAACAGAUAAGGAGCUUGCUCCUUUGACGUUAGCGGUGGACGGGUGAGUAACACGUGGGUAACCUACCUAUAAGACUGGGAUAACUUCGGGAAACCGGAGCUAAUACCGGAUAACAUUUGGAACCGCAUGGUUCUAAAGUGAAAGAUGGUUUUGCUAUCACUUAUAGAUGGACCCGCGCCGUAUUAGCUAGUUGGUAAGGUAACGGCUUACCAAGGCAACGAUACGUAGCCGACCUGAGAGGGUGAUCGGCCACACUGGAACUGAGACACGGUCCAGACUCCUACGGGAGGCAGCAGUAGGGAAUCUUCCGCAAAGGGCGAAAGCCUGACGGAGCAACGCCGCGUGAGUGAUGAAGGGUUUCGGCUCGUAAAACUCUGUUAUUAGGGAAGAACAAAUGUGUAAGUAACUGUGCACGUCUUGACGGUACCUAAUCAGAAAGCCACGGCUAACUACGUG